Molecule: ribosomal RNA, 584 nt
Filed under: uncultured bacterium
Lineage: Bacteria
Description: bacterial SSU rRNA
Rfam family: Bacterial small subunit ribosomal RNA
Source: RNAcentral
ACGGGUGAGUAAUACAUCGGAACGUGCCCAGUAGUGGGGGAUAGCUCGGCGAAAGCCGGAUUAAUACCGCAUACGACCUACGGGUGAAAGCGGGGGACCGCAAGGCCUCGCGCUAUUGGAGCGGCCGAUGUCAGAUUAGCUAGUUGGUGGGGUAAAGGCCUACCAAGGCAACGAUCUGUAGCUGGUCUGAGAGGACGACCAGCCACACUGGGACUGAGACACGGCCCAGACUCCUACGGGAGGCAGCAGUGGGGAAUUUUGGACAAUGGGGGCAACCCUGAUCCAGCCAUGCCGCGUGCGGGAAGAAGGCCUUCGGGUUGUAAACCGCUUUUGUCAGGGAAGAAACGCGCUGAGCUAAUACCUCGGCGUAAUGACGGUACCUGAAGAAUAAGCACCGGCUAACUACGUGCCAGCAGCCGCGGUAAUACGUAGGGUGCAAGCGUUAAUCGGAAUUACUGGGCGUAAAGCGUGCGCAGGCGGCUUUGCAAGACAGAUGUGAAAUCCCCGGGCUCAACCUGGGAACCGCAUUUGUGGCUGCAUGGCUAGAGUGCGGCAGAGGGGGAUGGAAUUCCGCGUGUAGCAGU